GUUAAUGAGGCGAACCGGGGGAACUGAAACAUCUAAGUACCCCGAGGAAAAGAAAUCAACCGAGAUUCCCCCAGUAGCGGCGAGCGAACGGGGAGGAGCCCAGAGCCUGAAUCAGUGUGUGUGUUAGUGGAAGCGUCUGGAAAGGCGCGCGAUACAGGGUGACAGCCCCGUACACAAAAAUGCACAUACUGUGAGCUCGAUGAGUAGGGCGGGACACGUGGUAUCCUGUCUGAAUAUGGGGGGACCAUCCUCCAAGGCUAAAUACUCCUGACUGACCGAUAGUGAACCAGUACCGUGAGGGAAAGGCGAAAAGAACCCCGGCGAGGGGAGUGAAAAAGAACCUGAAACCGUGUACGUACAAGCAGUGGGAGCCUCUUAAUGGGGUGACUGCGUACCUUUUGUAUAAUGGGUCAGCGACUUAUAUUCUGUAGCAAGGUUAACCGAAUAGGGGAGCCGAAGGGAAACCGAGUCUUAACUGGGCGUUAAGUUGCAGGGUAUAGACCCGAAACCCGGUGAUCUAGCCAUGGGCAGGUUGAAGGUUGGGUAACACUAACUGGAGGACCGAACCGACUAAUGUUGAAAAAUUAGCGGAUGACUUGUGGCUGGGGGUGAAAGGCCAAUCAAACCGGGAGAUAGCUGGUUCUCCCCGAAAGCUAUUUAGGUAGCGCCUCGUGAAUUCAUCUCCGGGGGUAGAGCACUGUUUCGGCAAGGGGGUCAUCCCGACUUACCAACCCGAUGCAAACUGCGAAUACCGGAGAAUGUUAUCACGGGAGACACACGGCGGGUGCUAACGUCCGUCGUGAAGAGGGAAACAACCCAGACCGCCAGCUAAGGUCCCAAAGUCAUGGUUAAGUGGGAAACGAUGUGGGAAGGCCCAGACAGCCAGGAUGUUGGCUUAGAAGCAGCCAUCAUUUAAAGAAAGCGUAAUAGCUCACUGGUCGAGUCGGCCUGCGCGGAAGAUGUAACGGGGCUAAACCAUGCACCGAAGCUGCGGCAGCGACACUAUGUGUUGUUGGGUAGGGGAGCG
This 1027-nucleotide ribosomal RNA is filed under the name Escherichia coli. RNAcentral's name for it is "partial 23S ribosomal RNA". It matches the Rfam family "Bacterial large subunit ribosomal RNA", at positions 170 to 1238 of the family's 2925-position model. Lineage: Bacteria; Pseudomonadati; Pseudomonadota; Gammaproteobacteria; Enterobacterales; Enterobacteriaceae. The record is from RNAcentral.